Molecule: ribosomal RNA, 497 nt
Filed under: uncultured bacterium
Lineage: Bacteria
Description: partial 16S ribosomal RNA
Rfam family: Bacterial small subunit ribosomal RNA
Source: RNAcentral
GAUGAACGCUGGCGGCGUGCCUAAUACAUGCAAGUCGAGCGAACAGACGAGGAGCUUGCUCCUCUGACGUUAGCGGCGGACGGGUGAGUAACACGUGGAUAACCUACCUAUAAGACUGGGAUAACUUCGGGAAACCGGAGCUAAUACCGGAUAAUAUAUUGAACCGCAUGGUUCAAUAGUGAAAGACGGUUUUGCUGUCACUUAUAGAUGGAUCCGCGCCGCAUUAGCUAGUUGGUAAGGUAACGGCUUACCAAGGCGACGAUGCGUAGCCGACCUGAGAGGGUGAUCGGCCACACUGGAACUGAGACACGGUCCAGACUCCUACGGGAGGCAGCAGUAGGGAAUCUUCCGCAAUGGGCGAAAGCCUGACGGAGCAACGCCGCGUGAGUGAUGAAGGUCUUCGGAUCGUAAAACUCUGUUAUUAGGGAAGAACAAAUGUGUAAGUAACCAUGCACGUCUUGACGGUACCUAAUCAGAAAGCCACGGCUAACUACGUG